RNAcentral lists this ribosomal RNA (430 nucleotides) under Chloroflexota bacterium. RNAcentral describes it as "Chloroflexi bacterium partial 16S ribosomal RNA". It matches the Rfam family "Bacterial small subunit ribosomal RNA", at positions 355 to 777 of the family's 1533-position model. Lineage: Bacteria; Bacillati; Chloroflexota. The record is from RNAcentral.
UGGGGAAUAUUGCACAAUGGGCGCAAGCCUGAUGCAGCCAUGCCGCGUGUGUGAAGAAGGCCUUCGGGUUGUAAAGCACUUUCAGCGGGGAGGAAGGCGGUGAGGUUAAUAACCUCAUCGAUUGACGUUACCCGCAGAAGAAGCACCGGCUAACUCCGUGCCAGCAGCCGCGGUAAUACGGAGGGUGCAAGCGUUAAUCGGAAUUACUGGGCGUAAAGCGCACGCAGGCGGUCUGUCAAGUCGGAUGUGAAAUCCCCGGGCUCAACCUGGGAACUGCAUUCGAAACUGGCAGGCUAGAGUCUUGUAGAGGGGGGUAGAAUUCCAGGUGUAGCGGUGAAAUGCGUAGAGAUCUGGAGGAAUACCGGUGGCGAAGGCGGCCCCCUGGACGAAGACUGACGCUCAGGUGCGAAAGCGUGGGGAGCAAACAGGA